Molecule: long non-coding RNA, 1648 nt
Filed under: Marmota monax (woodchuck)
Lineage: Eukaryota; Metazoa; Chordata; Mammalia; Rodentia; Sciuridae
Rfam family: tRNA (bases 612-684)
Source: RNAcentral
GUCAGCCACCACCCUUCCCAACCCCACAAGCUCAAGGUGCACAGUGGGCUUCUGGCUGGCCCAAGCCCCUGCUUCUCCUCCCCUGAGCUUCCAGAGCCAGUACGCCCCUCACCAGACAAGGGGCUCUCCCCCCGACUCUGGGCACCAGUGUCAUUUGUGCUGACCUUGCCUCCCCAGGCUUGGCACCCAGGCAGGUGGAUGGGCCCUCCGGGGACCCUUACUUCUUCCCCUUUGCUUUUCCUUCCUGACCAUCCACAUGACUGGCCAUCUCUUCCCCUACCUAGACAUGUUUAGACCAGCUGCUGGCCAGCUGAGGGUCCAUGUUUCAGACACUCCAUCCUGGGGCCGAUCGCUCCCCAGCAUCGUCACCACAGGAGACAGGUGCCAGGUGCUUGAAAGCCAGUCUGCCACACGAGGGUGACACCAGUGGGCAGGUGCUCCGGCUGCCUCCUCCUGACACAGGGAUGAUUUGGUCAGUGUCCAGCUGAGGGAUUCUGUGGGACUGAGAUGGCUUUCUAAUGUGUUGGUCUGCCUGAGGAGCUGUCCCAAUGUAACUGUUAUCCCUAAAAGUCCACCGUAAAAGUUCUUUAACAGAGAAACAUAUGGGGGCUGGGGACGUAGCUCAGUUGGUAGAGUGCCUGCCUCACAUGCACAAGGCCCUGGGUUCCAUCCUCAGCACCACCAAAAAAAAAAAAAAGAAAGUGAAAUAUACUUAGCCCGUGACCACGCAUGGUGCCUGUAACCAGGCAGGGCCUGAAAGUGCUCCGAGGACACUCCACCCUGUCCCUCCUAGCCUGUGAGCUUCCCAUCUCUCAAAGUUCUCAGAAAGGUAACACACUGGGUAGAAUAUUCAAGAACAAAAUCUUUAAAACUCAGCUUUAUUUGUGCUACUUUAUAAGCUUCAUAAUACAUUCUAUCUGUGGUUUUUAAAUCAAAUUUAUUUUUAACUGAUACAUAAAAACAAAAUCAUGUACACAUGCCUGAGAAAACCCAGACACAACGUGACGCUUGUGAGAUUGUGUGCCCCUGUGGCCUGAGCCAGCUUCCUGGGUGCCAACAUCAGUGUUCUCUCCCCUUCCCGGAUGAGAAAACAGGCACAGAGGUUCCACAGCUGCCCAGCUGCGCGUGCCCACCUGGUGGGGCUUCUACCCAAACAAGGUGGCUCGCAUUGGGUCUGGAUUUUCUCAGACAGUGGAAGCCUGCACGGCCACAGUCCUGCUGACCAAGCACCCAGGGAGGCCCAGACUGCACCUGCCCCAUCCAGUGGUCAGCGCUGCAGCAGGACCUGGCUCUCCACCCCCCUGUCGGAACUGGACACUGUGAGGACAACAGGCAUUUGCCAAGGACAGUGCUCACAGAAGCCUUCUCGCUUCUGCGGCCUCCGUCUGCUCCUGCUCGCCUCAGCCCGUGGCCGGAGCAGCUGGAGCAGGGCUCUUGUGGGUGACACGGCUCCAGGCCUUAUUCUCACCAUCUCCAUCUUCACCGACGACCAUUAAAGUAAAAUCCAGUGCCCAUCUGGAAAGCCCUCCUCCAGCUCCUCGUUCCUAAGUUAGGGCCUACUCUGUGUCUUCAGGGAAUAUUUCUCUGCUAGCCAAGCAGGGCAUUGCUCACAAGAGGAGGUGUGGGGUCAGCUCCUAUUUAAAGUCCG